AACGCGAAGAACCUUACCAGGUCUUGACAUCCCUCUGAAUAGUUUAGAGAUAAGCUAGGCCUUCGGGACAGAGGAGACAGGUGGUGCAUGGUUGUCGUCAGCUCGUGUCGUGAGAUGUUGGGUUAAGUCCCGCAACGAGCGCAACCCUUGAAUUCAGUUGCCAGCAGGUUAAGCUGGGCACUCUGAAUUGACUGCCGGUGACAAACCGGAGGAAGGUGGGGAUGACGUCAAAUCAUCAUGCCCCUUAUGACCUGGGCUACACACGUACUACAAUGGUCGGUACAACGGGAAGCGAAGCCGCGAGGCGGAGCCAAUCCUAGAAAAGCCGAUCUCAGUUCGGAUUGCAGGCUGCAACUCGCCUGCAUGAAGUCGGAAUUGCUAGUAAUCGCGGAUCAGCAUGCCGCGGUGAAUACGUUCCCGGGCCUUGUACACACCGAUAGC
This 441-nucleotide ribosomal RNA is filed under the name uncultured bacterium. RNAcentral's name for it is "bacterial SSU rRNA". It matches the Rfam family "Bacterial small subunit ribosomal RNA", at positions 958 to 1397 of the family's 1533-position model. The record is from RNAcentral.